RNAcentral lists this long non-coding RNA (501 nucleotides) under Homo sapiens (human). Its description in RNAcentral is "HSALNT0220891". Lineage: Eukaryota; Metazoa; Chordata; Mammalia; Primates; Hominidae. The record is from RNAcentral.
UUUUUUUCUCGUAGUCCACAGCUCAUAUUCUCCUUCUUGCCUCACUCAUCCCAGGGAGGAAGCCAGAGGGGCCUUGGACAUUGACAGCCACCUCUUUCUGGGUCGAGUUGCAAGGAUAAAAGGAAUAGUAUUUGUUAUCAGGCAGAAGGAGCGAGUGGCAGACUGCAGGAGCUCCAGGACCCUAGGUGACUGACUGUUCCAGACUGGCUGCCCUAGGAGACGCUCUAAGGCAGACAUAAUCGGGACAACUGAAUGUGCAACAUGGGUCCCUGAUGCCCAGAGCUGACCGUGUAAAGGCUUCAAAGUAGAUGCCCAAGCAUCUGAAAAUGAAACAGGGACAGCAGCAGCAGCAGCAGGCUCAUUCAGGCCUUCCUGGAAGAUGAACUAAGAGACAGCAGAUGUGUUGGCUGAGGUUGGAUGGGGUUUCUUCCCACCUAUCUCUCCUCUCUCCUUCCCUCUGCCCACUGCACGUGCAACAACUUUUCUGCCAUCAAAACGUGC